UUAUAAUAUGUUAUAGGUUACAAUAAUGUUACUUGUUACAGACCCAUCUUUGAAAGAAGUGGUCCCUGCAUCGAGUCAUAGCAAGAACAAGUCACCGAAUAUAAAGAAUAAAUUAAAGAGGAAGAAACAGCGAAAGAAUAAGAAGAGGAUGAAAUUCUACAAACAGAAGAAAACGCAGUUUUGGAGGUGAUCCGAGCGGACUGAAUCAAAUUCUCGGAAUUAAUAAAGUUUUACAUAUUUGUAAAGUAAUAAAUAAGAUAUUGGUUAUUGUAAAAUUUAAUUGUGACGCAAUGUACAUCAUAAUGUUGUAAUAUCUAUGAGUAAAGACAAUAAAAUGUACUAUAG
Manduca sexta (tobacco hornworm) is the source of this 345-nucleotide long non-coding RNA. RefSeq lists it as uncharacterized. NCBI's taxonomy places the organism in Eukaryota, Metazoa, Arthropoda, Insecta, Lepidoptera, Sphingidae. The transcript has 2 exons. The record is from RefSeq and is a predicted model, not a curated record.